RNAcentral lists this ribosomal RNA (745 nucleotides) under uncultured organism. RNAcentral's name for it is "bacterial SSU rRNA". It matches the Rfam family "Bacterial small subunit ribosomal RNA", at positions 45 to 826 of the family's 1533-position model. The record is from RNAcentral.
UGCCUAAGGUAUGCAAGUCGAACGGAAAGGCCCUUCGGGGUACUCGAGUGGCAGACGGCUGGGUAAUGCAUGAGAACUUGCCCUAAAGUCAGGCAUAGCCAUGAGAAAGCGUGGGUAAUUCCUGAUAUCUCUUCGGAGGAAAGCUUUUGCGCUUUAGGAUAGGCUCAUGUCCUAUCAGGUUGUUGGUGGGGUAACUGCCUACCAAGCCUAUGACGGGUAGCUGGUUUGAGAGGAUGUCCAGCCAGACUGGGACUGCGAUACGGCCCAGACUCCUACGGGAGGCAGCAACUAGGAAUCAUGCGCAAUGGACGAAAGUCUGACGCUGCGACGUCGCGUGCUGGAUGAAGGCUCUAGGGUCGUAAACAGCUUUUAUCGGGGAACAAGUUCUGAGUGUACCCGAUGAAUAAGUGCCUGCUAAUCACGUGCCAGAAGCAUCGGUAAUGCGUGAGGCACAAGCGUUAUCCGGAUUUACUGGGCGUAAAGAGAUGCGUAGGCGUCCCGAAAAGUUUUAUGUUAAAUACUGAUGCCCAACAUCAGAGUUGCAUAGAAAACUUUCAGGAUUGAGUCGAGUAGAGAAGGGGGGAAUUCCAGGUGGAGCGGUUAAAUGCGUUGAUAUCUGGAGGAACACCAAAAGCGAAGGCACCCCUUUGGACUCGUACUGACGCUAAGGCUCGAAAGCGUGGGUAGCAAAGCGGAUUAGAUACCCGUGUAGUCCACGCCCUAAACUAUCCCUGCUAGAUAUUUG